UCUUCGAUUUGGUUUUUUUCCUCCUGUUGUCAUAGGUCUAGUCAUACAACCAGCUAUGACGUAAGGAGCGGAAUGUUGGGCAAUCAAGAAGAGUACUUUGAAUAAAUUGAGUAUAAUGGAGAUGGGAAUGUUGCGAAGCCUAUGCUACAAGAACAAGAGAGAUACAGUAAAGAAUGAGCGUAUUAGAAAUGAUUUGGGAGUUGCACCAAUCCAAGACAAACUUUGUGAGAGCCGAUUGAGGUGGUAUGGACAUGUGUAACGGAGACCUAUGGAGGCCCUAGUAAGGAAGAGUGAUCAGAUUCAUUUAGAGCGAGUUAGAAAAGGUAGGGGUAGACCAAAGAUGACUAUUAAUGAAGUGGUGCGAAACGAUAUGCAAACCGUAGGGCUCGACUCUAGUAUGACUUUGGACAGAGUUACGUGGAGGACAAGGACCCGUGUUGCUGACCCCCUAUAGGGGAUGUUCCCAUGAUGCGUCUUUCUAUGUUGCUGUCUAGUGUUACAACCUAUGAAGUAAACAUUGACAUCAAUCAACAACAAGGAACAAGUGGAGCAAGUUGAGGUGGCUCAGGUUGCUAGAAGAAGAAGGCCACUUGGUUGGCUCUAAGACUAUGUUCAUUGUUGAAAGGUUAUACCUGUAAAUACUUACUAGUUGUUGGGACCACAUGCACAGGUGUUAGCUAUAGCUGAAUUAUUGUUAUUAGUUGUUGGGACCACAUGUACAAUUGUUGGCCAUAACUAAUUUCUCUGUAACGGAGUAAAGGAUUCUUGUAUGCUAUAAGUAGCUCUUGUAAAGAGGAAAUAAUAUAAAGACAUUUGUUCUCUUCUUCCUUA
Macadamia integrifolia is the source of this 831-nucleotide long non-coding RNA. RefSeq lists it as uncharacterized. NCBI's taxonomy places the organism in Eukaryota, Viridiplantae, Streptophyta, Magnoliopsida, Proteales, Proteaceae. The transcript has 2 exons. The record is from RefSeq and is a predicted model, not a curated record.